GUGCAUUUGGAUUAUGAAUGCUGUUUCCUCCAGUGGGUGACACCAAGCAGGUCCCGCAGGGAAAUCCAGGAAACGCUAACUUCUACUCAUUCUUCUUUCCUACCCCAGUUUUCUUGGUGGAUCAGUGUAGAAGGAAACUGCUUCUUUCAUUUCUCAGGAAGAACUGCUUUAAGAGGGGCAGAUGGGAGCACCUACGAAGUGAAAUACGGAAACUGUCUCUACAUGGCAGAAGCAUCUCCCUGGGUGCUGGUGAAUUUUAUACUUUUUAAAAGGCAUGUUUUACUUUGGAAGCAGAAGCAAUUACUUUUAAUUGUGCUUCUCAGCAUGAAAAACUUACAAAAGGCAUGUUUUUCUCCUCCUCAAAGUCAGACCUGUAUAUUAAGAACAGAAACACUCCAAUACACACUAAAAAACAGGCCGUAGUUGUCUUGGGAAUAUAGAGCAGCUCUGCUAAGUAUGACUGCAUAAAGAUGUUAUGUAUGGAGUUGCCUGAGGUUUAUCUUGGCUGUCUUAACUUUGAUGAGAU
Molecule: long non-coding RNA, 526 nt
Filed under: Zonotrichia albicollis (white-throated sparrow)
Lineage: Eukaryota; Metazoa; Chordata; Aves; Passeriformes; Passerellidae
Description: lncRNA (ENSZALG00000008675.1)
Source: RNAcentral